UACGUAGGGUGCGAGCGUUAAUCGGAAUUACUGGGCGUAAAGCGUGCGCAGGCGGUUCGUCGUGUCCGAUGUGAAAGCCCCGGGCUCAACCUGGGAAUGGCAUUGGAAACUGGCGGACUCGAGUGUGGCAGAGGGGGGUGGAAUUCCGCGUGUAGCAGUGAAAUGCGUAGAGAUGCGGAGGAACACCAGCGGCGAAGGCGGCAUCCUGGACUGGUCCUGACACUCAGGAGCGAAAGCGUGGGGAGCGAUCCGG
RNAcentral lists this ribosomal RNA (253 nucleotides) under uncultured bacterium. Its description in RNAcentral is "partial 16S ribosomal RNA". It matches the Rfam family "Bacterial small subunit ribosomal RNA", at positions 524 to 776 of the family's 1533-position model. The record is from RNAcentral.